UGCGCAGGCGGACCAAUAAGUCAGUGGUGAAAUCCCGGGGCUCAACCCCGGAACUGCCAUUGAUACUGUUGGUCUUGAAUACGGUUGAAGUAGGCGGAAUGUAGCAUGUAGCGGUGAAAUGCAUAGAGAUGCUACAGAACACCGAUCGCGAAGGCAGCUUACUAAGCCGAUAUUGACGCUCAGGCACGAAAGCGUGGGGAGCGAACAGGAUUAGAUACCCUGGUAGUC
This 228-nucleotide ribosomal RNA is filed under the name uncultured bacterium. Its description in RNAcentral is "partial 16S ribosomal RNA". It matches the Rfam family "Bacterial small subunit ribosomal RNA", at positions 568 to 795 of the family's 1533-position model. The record is from RNAcentral.